RNAcentral lists this ribosomal RNA (465 nucleotides) under Vreelandella stevensii. Its description in RNAcentral is "partial 16S ribosomal RNA". It matches the Rfam family "Bacterial small subunit ribosomal RNA", at positions 338 to 795 of the family's 1533-position model. The record is from RNAcentral. Lineage: Bacteria; Pseudomonadati; Pseudomonadota; Gammaproteobacteria; Oceanospirillales; Halomonadaceae.
CCUACGGGGUGCAGCAGUGGGGAAUAUUGGACAAUGGGGGCAACCCUGAUCCAGCCAUGCCGCGUGUGUGAAGAAGGCCCUCGGGUUGUAAAGCACUUUCAGUGAGGAAGAACGCCUGGUGGUUAAUACCCAUCAGGAAAGACAUCACUCACAGAAGAAGCACCGGCUAACUCCGUGCCAGCAGCCGCGGUAAUACGGAGGGUGCGAGCGUUAAUCGGAAUUACUGGGCGUAAAGCGCGCGUAGGUGGCUUGAUAAGCCGGUUGUGAAAGCCCCGGGCUCAACCUGGGAACGGCAUCCGGAACUGUUAAGCUAGAGUGCAGGAGAGGAAGGUAGAAUUCCCGGUGUAGCGGUGAAAUGCGUAGAGAUCGGGAGGAAUACCAGUGGCGAAGGCGGCCUUCUGGACUGACACUGACACUGAGGUGCGAAAGCGUGGGUAGCACACAGGAUUAGAUACCCUUGUAGUC